CACGUGGGUAACCUGCCUGUAAGACUGGGAUAACUCCGGGAAACCGGGGCUAAUACCGGAUGGUUGUUUGAACCGCAUGGUUCAAACAUAAAAGGUGGCUUCGGCUACCACUUACAGAUGGACCCGCGGCGCAUUAGCUAGUUGGUGAGGUAACGGCUCACCAAGGCAACGAUGCGUAGCCGACCUGAGAGGGUGAUCGGCCACACUGGGACUGAGACACGGCCCAUACUCCUACGGGAGGCAGCAGUAGGGAAUCUUCCGCAAUGGACGAAAGUCUGACGGAGCAACGCCGCGUGAGUGAUGAAGGUUUUCGGAUCGUAAAGCUCUGUUGUUAGGGAAGAACAAGUGCCGUUCAAAUAGGGCGGCACCUUGACGGUACCUAACCAGAAAGCCACGGCUAACUACGUGCCAGCAGCCGCGGUAAUACGUAGGUGGCAAGCGUUGUCCGGAAUUAUUGGGCGUAAAGGGCUCGCAGGCGGUUUCUUAAUUCUGAUGUGAAACCCCCCGGCUCAACCGGGGAGGGUCAUUGGA
RNAcentral lists this ribosomal RNA (531 nucleotides) under Bacillus amyloliquefaciens. RNAcentral's name for it is "bacterial SSU rRNA". It matches the Rfam family "Bacterial small subunit ribosomal RNA", at positions 114 to 630 of the family's 1533-position model. The record is from RNAcentral. Lineage: Bacteria; Bacillati; Bacillota; Bacilli; Caryophanales; Bacillaceae.